CACUUCCGGAGUAGGAUCGGAGCCGGAGGGAUCCGGAUCAGGUGCCACCAUGAAGCUCUGCCUGGUGCUGGUGGCAGCCACGGUGCUGCUGGGCUGUGGGGCGGAGCCUCCCACCACCACGGCCACACCCCCUCCGACUGAGACCACGC
Neopsephotus bourkii (Bourke's parrot) is the source of this 149-nucleotide long non-coding RNA. RefSeq lists it as uncharacterized. The record is from RefSeq and is a predicted model, not a curated record. NCBI's taxonomy places the organism in Eukaryota, Metazoa, Chordata, Aves, Psittaciformes, Psittacidae. The transcript has 3 exons.